This 238-nucleotide ribosomal RNA is filed under the name uncultured bacterium. Its description in RNAcentral is "partial 16S ribosomal RNA". It matches the Rfam family "Bacterial small subunit ribosomal RNA", at positions 112 to 334 of the family's 1533-position model. The record is from RNAcentral.
AACGCGUGGGUAAUCUACCCCCGAAUUUGGGAUAACUCCGCGAAAGCGGGGCUAAUACCGGAUAAUAUCUUAUUGACUUUGGUUACUAUGAUCAAAGGUGGCCUCUACUUGUAAGCUACUGUUUGGGGAUGAGCCCGCGUACCAUUAGCUUGUUGGUAGGGUAAUGGCCUACCAAGGCGACGAUGGUUAGCUGGUCUGAGAGGAUGAUCAGCCACACUGAAACUGACACACGGUCCAG